UUUACACGUGAUAUUUUGGCUCAAAACCUUUAAGGAUUCAUAAGACUAACUCUGAGGACAUUUACCGGACAAAAUUGACUCAAAGUCAUAGCACCCCCUAGUGGCAACAGGAAGUAGGCCUAAACAUCAACGUGCUAUACUUUAAUGAACUCCUCCUAGCGAUUUCAUCAGAU
This is a long non-coding RNA of Sander lucioperca (pikeperch), 173 nucleotides long. RefSeq lists it as uncharacterized. The record is from RefSeq and is a predicted model, not a curated record. NCBI's taxonomy places the organism in Eukaryota, Metazoa, Chordata, Actinopteri, Perciformes, Percidae. The transcript has 3 exons.